RNAcentral lists this ribosomal RNA (305 nucleotides) under uncultured bacterium. RNAcentral describes it as "bacterial SSU rRNA". It matches the Rfam family "Bacterial small subunit ribosomal RNA", at positions 335 to 654 of the family's 1533-position model. The record is from RNAcentral.
GUCCCUACGGGGGGCAGCAGUGGGGAAUAUUGGACAAUGGGGGGAACCCUGAUCCAGCGACGCCGCGUGAGUGAAGAAGUAUUUCGGUAUGUAAAGCUCUAUCAGCAGGGAAGAAAGAAAUGACGGUACCUGACUAAGAAGCCCCGGCUAACUACGUGCCAGCAGCCGCGGUAAUACGUAGGGGGCAAGCGUUAUCCGGAUUUACUGGGUGUAAAGGGAGCGCAGACGGUGAGACAAGUCUGAAGUGAAAGCCCGGGGCUCAACCCCGGGACUGCUUUGGACACUGCCUGAUUGGAGUGCUGGAG